AAGGCAGGUGAAGUCAUCGCUGCCGGCAGCUUGCCGGUAGAGGAACUUCCCGACUCUCACCCGCGACGUCUGCAACGCAGCGUCGUCGGGGCGUUGCCCCACGAAACCGUAAGUGGGGGCGCAUGUCCGGUAACGGCCAUGUGACUACAACCGCAACAGAGAGCAGACCCGCCGCGCGGGAGACCGCACGGUAAGGGGUGAAACGGUGGGGUAAGAGCCCACCAGCGGUUUCGGCAACGAAACCGGCUGGGCGAGCGUGCAACGGAGAGCAAGGCGAGUGGGUUUUGCACUGUCUGCGAAGAUGGUGUAAGAUCUCGUCGCAGCGGUGCGGAUGAAGCCGGAUAACACCCGGCAAGUCACAAUCCGCCGGGCAAAUUGCCCGAGACAGAUGAUGACGGUCAGAGUUCGCCCCCAGGGGCACUCUGAUGACAGAAUCGGGGGUACACCCGCCUUCCUG
Molecule: RNase P RNA, 457 nt
Filed under: Caldilineaceae bacterium
Lineage: Bacteria; Bacillati; Chloroflexota; Caldilineae; Caldilineales; Caldilineaceae
Description: RNase P RNA component class A
Rfam family: Bacterial RNase P class A
About the family: Ribonuclease P (RNase P) is a ubiquitous endoribonuclease, found in archaea, bacteria and eukarya as well as chloroplasts and mitochondria.
Source: RNAcentral